AUACUUGCUUCAGCAGUAUGUUUGCUAAAAUGGGAACAAUAAGAGAAGAUUGGCAUGCCCCUCUAGAAGUAUGACACAUAAAUUUAUGACGCUGUUUAUAUUUUC
This is a small nuclear RNA of Sorex araneus (European shrew), 105 nucleotides long. NCBI's taxonomy places the organism in Eukaryota, Metazoa, Chordata, Mammalia, Eulipotyphla, Soricidae. The record is from RefSeq and is a predicted model, not a curated record.